CGUGUAGGCGGACCUAGAAGUCGGGUGUGAAAGCCCCGGGCUCAACUCGGGAAGUGCGCUCGAAACCAUAGGUCUUGAGGUCCGGAGGGGAUCGGGGAAUUCCUGGUGUAGAGGUGAAAUUCGUAGAUAUCAGGAGGAACACCGGUGGCGAAGGCGCCGAUCUGGACGGAUUCUGACGCUGAGACGCGAAAGCGUGGGGAGCAAACA
Molecule: ribosomal RNA, 207 nt
Filed under: uncultured bacterium
Lineage: Bacteria
Description: partial 16S ribosomal RNA
Rfam family: Bacterial small subunit ribosomal RNA
Source: RNAcentral